ACAAAGCAAGCUGACAUCAGCAACCGUCUUCAGCCGCAGAUUCGCCAUUUUGUUUCCGAACUCUCAGACCGAACCCAGAUCUUUCUAGACUUUUAGUAAGAACAGCAGUUUGUUCAGACAUGGGAAAACAACCAGACUGGGACAACAUCGAGGACUGGAGCGCCCGUGACAGAGCCAAGCCGAGGUUUCUGAAAGACUGGCGGGAAAAAUUUUCGGACGUGGUCCACUGUGUCUGGGACCCCCUCUUGGGAAACAUGAUCGGACCAGCCAGUGUUGUGCUUGCCCUGACCAUCAUAGUCAUCGUGUCUGUUGCUGCCUAGGAAGAUCCAGUUUGUCCUGUGCACCGCGCGGCCAUUGGCGACUCAUGAUGACGUCAUUUCGUCGGUUCAACUUUCUUCGUCGGAGAAGACAUCUACAACCUGCACUGCGUGAAAUUUGAGCCUUAUUCACGACUUAAAGCAUGCGUAAAUUUUCUGUUUCUUCACUCGAUGGAGAAACGGAACCUUUACGGAUGUUUAAAAUUAAAUCUUUAAGCAUACAUUAAAAUUUAUUGUAUGCUUAAAGAUCAGAUUUUUUACUCGAUUGGAAAUAUGGAACCUUUACGCAUGUUUUCAAUCAAAUCUUUAAGCAUAUAUUAAAAUUUAAUGUAUGCUUAAAGAUACAUUUUUUGCAGUGAUGUUCAUUGGCCAGUUGAAUCACAUGGACUCCUCACUUACAAUCUUUUUAACUUAGAACGACUUAAUAUUUAACAUGUACCAACAAUCGUCUCCACAUAUUGUUUUAUCUCGAAAAUGUUUUUGUACCUAAAUACUUUCGUAACCUAUUUACAUGUACUACCCAAAAUGGUGUAGGAACCUUAGUUAUAUAUUCGUCCUGUAUCGUUUGUAAGGUAGCUCUGACGUAUAAUGAUAGUCUGGGUGUAGGAUAUACUGUACUGUGACAUCGUGGAAACAGCCCAGGAAAUUCUUACCUGUCAUUAGAUAUAGCUUUUCUUGCAUGCAACGUUUGUUUUGCUGUUAAUACGAAUCAUAUGAAAUUUUUUCUCGGGUUAAAGCAGUUGUUAAUCGCAAUACUUAAACAUUGGUGGUUGUGCCUUAAUAAAUUGUUCACUGAUAAUGUGUGGCGAAAAUCA
Branchiostoma belcheri (Belcher's lancelet) is the source of this 1132-nucleotide long non-coding RNA. RefSeq lists it as uncharacterized. The record is from RefSeq and is a predicted model, not a curated record. The transcript is spliced from 3 exons. Lineage: Eukaryota; Metazoa; Chordata; Leptocardii; Amphioxiformes; Branchiostomatidae.